Long non-coding RNA from Pangasianodon hypophthalmus (striped catfish), 1529 nucleotides. RefSeq lists it as uncharacterized. The transcript is spliced from 6 exons. The record is from RefSeq and is a predicted model, not a curated record. NCBI's taxonomy places the organism in Eukaryota, Metazoa, Chordata, Actinopteri, Siluriformes, Pangasiidae.
ACAGAGAUGCUAAAGGAGGUGGAUGAUGGGGUGGAGACUGAAGCCAUCAACCAGCUCCAGAACGUCUUCCUGGAUCAGGCAGAGGAAACUUCUGGCCAGUCUCUGGGUGAGCAAAAAAUAUAAUCUCAGACAAAUUUCACACAAAAUGCAAAACAAUAACUGCAAAAAGCCUCACAUUAAUGUUGCCGUGGUGAUGAAUGCAAUUAACUCGUAUUAAUAACACGUAAUACUCCAUGUCUACUGACCAUAUGUUCUUAACAAGAUGCUAUAAUUCAAAAUAUUUGAACUUAAACUAGAGUUAGAAAAUUGUAAGUUUGAAAUGGAUUUUUUUUACAGCAGGAGAAAGUGGGGAGAUCGUGACGAGUGCCAACGCUGAAGCUGAGGCUGAAGUCUUUAAUGGUUUCCUCACCGUCCUCCUGGAGGAGACAAGGGACAAGAACAACCUGCCUCUGGAAGAAGUUGAGGCUGAAGCUCAAGAAAGAAAUCCAGAAGAGGCUGAAACAGAGAAUAGCACAUCUCUGGAUCAAGUAAACGGCAAUAAUACAGACGGGCCUGUUGAAAACACUGGGAAUGGAAACGAGAAAAAGAAAAGGACCAGGAGAGGGACACGAGGCAAAGGAAGAAAGAUAAAUUACAAAAAGUUCCAGGACAACAAAGCAGGUAUUAAUAUUAAUAUCACGUCAUUAUGUCAGUAAUGUAACUGAACAACUGCUGAUAUUAGCUCAGUUUGUGUUAAACGAAGAAUCUAAACAUUGUAUCAAGUUUUAUUGUUAAUCAUGUGACUUUUGUCAGGACGAUCUGCAGCUGAGGCCAUAGAAAGACCACCAGAAGAUGCAGAAACAAUGAACAGCACACCUCUGGCGGACAAACCCAUGGUGAAGGCGGAAGAAGACUCUGAGCCUAAAGAGGAAAUCCAACUCCCUGAGACGGAGACCAUUAAUGAGCAGCUUCUGAGUAUGCCAUGAAAAUGAGCGUUCCAUAUUAUGAUGACGAUAAUAUAGACAAAUACUGACAUUUUCACAAUCAAAGCAGGAGAAGAGACACCAAAGAUGGAGGAAGAAGCUGAGCUGGAAGGUACUCCCGAUGAAGUGAAGGCAAAGAAAAAGGUCAGGAGAGGAACACGAGGAAGAGGGAGAAAAAUCAACUACAAGAAAGUUGAAGACAAAGAAGCUGAACAGAAUUUAGGGAGGAAAGAGCUGACCGACGCCAAAGCAUUGAGAGACCAACAUGAAAGACAGACACAAAGAAAGCCACAGACACAGUCACAUGUCUGGACACACCGUGACAGAGCCUGCGAGUCAGGGUGGAGAGGACCUGCUCACUGGGACUGGAGAGGCAGGAGAAUCCUAAGAAGAUCAACUCAAGACACACCAUCACAUGCUGGAGCCUGAUCUAUUGAACAGCACACACACACACACACACACACACACACACACACACAUAUAUACACACACACAUAUACACACACACAAAACCAAUGCACACAAACACACAUACACACAAAACCCAAUGAACAAACAAACACACAU